AUCAACUCCCACAGUUUAUCUUCCAAGUCCCUCCAUUUUACCCGAAUUCUGCAACGCCCCUUCCCCUCCCUCAUUCUCCAAUGGCGACGCCUCUCCAUCUUCCCGCCAUUUUCAAUUCCCUCAACCCUAGCUUUCCUAAGGUCCCCCGCCGAUGGAACUCCGCUUUACUCACCCGCUCCUCCCUCACGGACCAAUCCCUCUCCGCCAAACGCCACCUGCUCCGCCUAAUCUCCGACCAGGACCGGGGCCUCCGCACGCAAACCGACGCCUCCAAGCUCUCCCAGAUCAUCGACGCUAUCGACUCCAUGGCGGUGCUGGGCAGCGGCACCGUCACCACCGGGCCGUCCCUCUCUGGCACCUGGAGGCUGCUGUGGACUACCGAGAAAGAGCAACUCUACAUAAUUAAGAACGCGGGGGUCUUCGGAACCCGCGCCGGAGACGUUUUGCAGGUGAUUGACGUGGAGAAUGGUGCUCUAAACAACGUGAUCACGUUUCCUCCUCACGGGGUUUUCUUUGUCCGGUCCACUAUAGAAAUCUCCUCGCCUCAGAGAGUAAAUUUUAAGUUUACAAGCGCAGUUCUCCGUGGGCAGAAUUGGGAGCUUCCAUUACCACCAUUUGGGCAGGGUUGGUUUGAAUCUGUGUACCUUGAUGAUGAGAUUCGAGUUGUGAAGGAUAUUCGAGGAGAUUACUUAGUUGUUGAUCGAGCUCUUUAUAAUUGGAAGGAAUGAACAUGACCUGUAUGCAAUUGCUCCAUUGAUGGCACUGCUAUGUCUCUUGUUUGGUUUUGACACUAUCCUAUCAGGUUCCAAUCUGUAUAUCUAGACGAUGACAUUCGAGUUGCAAAAGACAUCCGUGGAGAUUAUUUAGUUGUUGACCGUGCUCCUUAUGAAUGGAAAGAAUAAGUCACGAAAGAUGUUAAUGGAGAUAUUUGAUUGCGCAUUUUCUCAACGGAAAGAACUCACUGACUAGUGUAUAGCCUUGCUUUUCUAUUCCACUGCCUUUUAUCACCUUGUUUGUUGUUGUAACUGAUGUUUGUAAGCUUCUCAAAGUACCAUGUUUUCUAGCUUUAACUCCUCAAACGUGGUCAUUAAAGCUGCCUUCCUUCCCAUGGAGCUUGAGUUUCCUUCAGAUGGCACUUUAGUUCCUUUUGCCAGGAACUUUAUGGUGGGAAAGCUUUAGUCUAUUAGGCAGGAAUGUCUUCCACGUCAGGAUGCUUGAUUUCUGAUCAUAUUACAAGCUACACCUCUGAUCCGAUUGCAGGGGUUGCUCACAUUUGUUAGUGUUAGCUUGCAUCCUCAUGUUGAAAGUGGAGAGCUAAGACAGGCAGAAAAUCUGCUACAGGGUACUGCUAUCAUCUACUUCAAACAGGUAUUUUUCUUGCGUCUGUGCAGUGAUUGAUAUGCUUUUUAGAAUUUUAUGGGUUUACCUGGUGGUAAAUUCUUUUGGAUAUUGUUGCCUAUCCUAGGUUUGCAUCACCAUUAUUCACUCUUUUCCUAGCUGCAAACAUCUACUUUUCAGACAAUGUAACCUCUGGGUUCAAUUUUACUCAGGAAAUCUACAUGUACCACUGGGUAGGUUCUUGUUAGUUCAAGCCAGUUGGAUAUUUGUAUUCUGGAGCGAACACGUCUGAGCUGGGUAGAUCAGUUCAAUGUUGUCAGGGUGGUAGUUUAAGUGCCAAGAGAUUUGGGGUGCUGAAAAAUAGAUCUCAACUUUGAGUGUCUUAUGAGUAACCUCUCUCUAUUCUUGGUGCUUUAAAUGCACAACUGCAUUUAAGUACAAUUAGAGAAGACUAACUACUAAAAUGUGCCAUUUAAGUUAGGUACAUUAUUUGAAUAUAGAGAUGUUAAACGAGUUCCGUGUUUCUAUCUGACAAGUUAGGUUUAGUCUAUUUUGCCAU
Diospyros lotus (date-plum) is the source of this 1897-nucleotide RNA transcript. It is a transcript of the gene named probable plastid-lipid-associated protein 11, chloroplastic, with no coding region annotated. The record is from RefSeq and is a predicted model, not a curated record. Lineage: Eukaryota; Viridiplantae; Streptophyta; Magnoliopsida; Ericales; Ebenaceae. The transcript has 7 exons.